GAGGAAAGUCCGGGCAACACAGAGCAUCCCACUUCCUAACAGAAAGCUGUCCGCGAGGGUAGAGUAACGUAGAAGAAAACAACCGCCUGCGUCUUCGGGCGUCGGUAAGGGUGAGAAGGUGGGGUAAGAGCCUACCAGUCUUGUGGCAACACAAGGGCUGUGCGUCUUGGGAGUUGUAAGGUCAUGUAAACCGACGCUAUGAGAGCUGCUCGCUCCAUGUCGGAGGGUAGACCGCUAAAGCUUGUAUGGUGACAUACGGCUCAGAUAAAUGAUGGACACCUUGAUGAAUGAAGAAUGAAGAAUUCUUCCUG
RNAcentral lists this RNase P RNA (311 nucleotides) under Bacteroides intestinalis DSM 17393. RNAcentral's name for it is "RNA component of RNase P". It matches the Rfam family "Bacterial RNase P class A", at positions 43 to 342 of the family's 367-position model. Rfam says of the family: Ribonuclease P (RNase P) is a ubiquitous endoribonuclease, found in archaea, bacteria and eukarya as well as chloroplasts and mitochondria. Its best characterised activity is the generation of mature 5'-ends of tRNAs by cleaving the 5'-leader elements of precursor-tRNAs. Lineage: Bacteria; Pseudomonadati; Bacteroidota; Bacteroidia; Bacteroidales; Bacteroidaceae. The record is from RNAcentral.